UAGGGAAUCUUCGGCAAUGGGGGCAACCCUGACCGAGCAACGCCGCGUGAGUGAAGAAGGUUUUCGGAUCGUAAAGCUCUGUUGUAAGUCAAGAACGGGUGUGAGAGUGGAAAGUUCACACUGUGACGGUGGCUUACCAGAAAGGGACGGCUAACUACGUGCCAGCAGCCGCGGUAAUACGUAGGUCCCGAGCGUUGUCCGGAUUUAUUGGGCGUAAAGCGAGCGCAGGCGGUUUGAUAAGUCUGAAGUUAAAGGCUGUGGCUAAACCAUAGUUCGCUUUGGAAACUGUCAAACUUGAGUGCAGAAGGGGAGAGUGGAAUUCCAUGUGUAGCGGUGAAAUGCGUAGAUAUAUGGAGGAACACCGGUGGCGAAAGCGGCUCUCUGGUCUGUAACUGACGCUGAGGCUCGAAAGCGUGGGGAGCGAACAGG
This 429-nucleotide ribosomal RNA is filed under the name bacterium. RNAcentral describes it as "partial 16S ribosomal RNA". It matches the Rfam family "Bacterial small subunit ribosomal RNA", at positions 355 to 776 of the family's 1533-position model. The record is from RNAcentral.